RNAcentral lists this ribosomal RNA (1222 nucleotides) under uncultured fungus. RNAcentral's name for it is "eukaryotic LSU rRNA". The stretch from base 587 to 1222 matches the Rfam family "Eukaryotic large subunit ribosomal RNA", at positions 1 to 653 of the family's 3401-position model. The record is from RNAcentral. Lineage: Eukaryota; Fungi.
UAGAGGAGUAAAAGUCGUAACAAGGUUUCCGUAGGUGAACCUGCGGAAGGAUCAUUAGUGAAUAUAGGACGUCCAACUUAACUUGGAGUCCGAACUCUCACUUUCUAACCCUGUGCACUUGUUUGGGAUAGUAACUCUCGCAAGAGAGCGAACUCCUAUUCACUUAUAAACACAAAGUCUAUGAAUGUAUUAAAUUUUAUAACAAAAUAAAACUUUCAACAACGGAUCUCUUGGCUCUCGCAUCGAUGAAGAACGCAGCGAAAUGCGAUAAGUAAUGUGAAUUGCAGAAUUCAGUGAAUCAUCGAAUCUUUGAACGCACCUUGCGCUCCAUGGUAUUCCGUGGAGCAUGCCUGUUUGAGUGUCAUGAAUACUUCAACCCUCCUCUUUCUUAAUGAUUGAAGAGGUGUUUGGUUUCUGAGCGCUGCUGGCCUUUACGGUCUAGCUCGUUCGUAAUGCAUUAGCAUCCGCAAUCGAACUUCGGAUUGACUUGGCGUAAUAGACUAUUCGCUGAGGAAUUCUAGUCUUCGGACUAGAGCCGGGUUGGGUUAAAGGAAGCUUCUAAUCAGAAUGUCUACAUUUUAAGAUUAGAUCUCAAAUCAGGUAGGACUACCCGCUGAACUUAAGCAUAUCAAUAAGCGGAGGAAAAGAAACUAACAAGGAUUCCCCUAGUAGCGGCGAGCGAAGCGGGAAGAGCUCAAAUUUAUAAUCUGGCACCUUCGGUGUCCGAGUUGUAAUCUCUAGAAAUGUUUUCCGCGUUGGACCGCACACAAGUCUGUUGGAAUACAGCGGCAUAGUGGUGAGACCCCCGUAUAUGGUGCGGACGCCCAGCGCUUUGUGAUACAUUUUCGAAGAGUCGAGUUGUUUGGGAAUGCAGCUCAAAUUGGGUGGUAAAUUCCAUCUAAAGCUAAAUAUUGGCGAGAGACCGAUAGCGAACAAGUACCGUGAGGGAAAGAUGAAAAGCGCUUUGGAAAGAGAGUUAACAGUACGUGAAAUUGUUGGAAGGGAAACGCUUGAAGUCAGACUUGCUUGCCGAGCAAUCGGUUUGCAGGCCAGCAUCAGUUUUCCGGGAUGGAUAAUGGUAGAGAGAAGGUAGCAGUUUCGGCUGUGUUAUAGCUCUCUGCUGGAUACAUCUUGGGGGACUGAGGAACGCAGUGUGCCUUUGGCGGGGGUUUCGACCUCUUCACACUUAGGAUGCUGGUGGAAUGGCUUUAAACGACCCGUC